UGUUAGCGGCGGACGGGUGAGUAACACGUGGGUAACCUGCCUGUAAGACUGGGAUAACUCCGGGAAACCGGAGCUAAUACCGGAUAGUUCCUUGAACCGCAUGGUUCAAGGAUGAAAGACGGUUUCGGCUGUCACUUACAGAUGGACCCGCGGCGCAUUAGCUAGUUGGUGAGGUAACGGCUCACCAAGGCGACGAUGCGUAGCCGACCUGAGAGGGUGAUCGGCCACACUGGGACUGAGACACGGCCCAGACUCCUACGGGAGGCAGCAGUAGGGAAUCUUCCGCAAUGGACGAAAGUCUGACGGAGCAACGCCGCGUGAGUGAUGAAGGUUUUCGGAUCGUAAAGCUCUGUUGUUAGGGAAGAACAAGUGCAAGAGUAACUGCUUGCACCUUGACGGUACCUAACCAGAAAGCCACGGCUAACUACGUGCCAGCAGCCGCGGUAAUACGUAGGUGGCAAGCGUUGUCCGGAAUUAUUGGGCGUAAAGGGCUCGCAGGCGGUUUCUUAAGUCUGAUGUGAAAGCCCCCGGCUCAACCGGGGAGGGUCAUUGGAAACUGGGAAACUUGAGUGCAGAAGAGGAGAGUGGAAUUCCACGUGUAGCGGUGAAAUGCGUAGAGAUGUGGAGGAACACCAGUGGCGAAGGCGACUCUCUGGUCUGU
RNAcentral lists this ribosomal RNA (661 nucleotides) under Bacillus sp. (in: firmicutes). RNAcentral describes it as "bacterial SSU rRNA". It matches the Rfam family "Bacterial small subunit ribosomal RNA", at positions 90 to 737 of the family's 1533-position model. The record is from RNAcentral. Lineage: Bacteria; Bacillati; Bacillota; Bacilli; Caryophanales; Bacillaceae.